Long non-coding RNA from Canis lupus familiaris (dog), 597 nucleotides. RefSeq lists it as uncharacterized. Lineage: Eukaryota; Metazoa; Chordata; Mammalia; Carnivora; Canidae. The record is from RefSeq and is a predicted model, not a curated record. The transcript is spliced from 4 exons.
CCGGCGGGAUCACGCCCUGGCGCCGUCGCGUCGCUCCCUGGUCGCCCACGUGCCGCCGAGCCGGCUAGUCAGACAGGGAGGCCUGGAGGUAGCCCGCGGUGAGGCGCCGUUUGCUGAGCUUCUCAGCUCCCUUUUGGAGAGCGGGACGGAAGAGAAAGCUUCGUCGCUCUGCCGUUACCCCCGGAGAGGCCUAGACGACCUGGAAGACCCCCGUCUUCCCUGAGACUGUUUUACAACCGGAAGUGAAGGAGCAGCCUCCGUCGCCAGGUUCGCUUCCCGACUCCGCUGACAGUGGGAACUUGAGCGCCGCGUUGUGUCCGUGAAAUGGAAAAGGAGGCCACGUUUUCACGAGACGCGAGCGUAGCGUGUACUUUUUCAAGCCUACAAGAGAUUUGCUUGGACCUGUCACUGGAAGUCACUUUUAUCCUGAUUGGGAGAAUCGAUCAAGAUGAUUUUCUAGAGUAGCCUGUUGUGAAGUGAAGAGCCUAAUAGGAAAAGGUCUUAAUAGCAUUUUGUCCUCAUAAAAAUGGAAAACUUCACCAGAUUCAAUCUGUUGCAGCUCUUAAAAAAAAAAAGUACUUACGUAAUCGUAUUUCC